RNAcentral lists this ribosomal RNA (846 nucleotides) under uncultured bacterium. RNAcentral describes it as "bacterial SSU rRNA". It matches the Rfam family "Bacterial small subunit ribosomal RNA", at positions 51 to 890 of the family's 1533-position model. The record is from RNAcentral.
ACACAUGCAAGUCGAGGGGCAGCAUCAUCAAAGCUUGCUUUGAUGGAUGGCGACCGGCGCACGGGUGAGUAACACGUAUCCAACCUGCCGACAACACUGGGAUAGCCUUUCGAAAGAAAGAUUAAUACCGGAUGGUAUAGUUUUCCCGCAUGGGAUGAUUAUUAAAGAAUUUCGGUUGUCGAUGGGGAUGCGUUCCAUUAGGCAGUUGGCGGGGUAACGGCCCACCAAACCUACGAUGGAUAGGGGUUCUGAGAGGAAGGUCCCCCACAUUGGAACUGAGACACGGUCCAAACUCCUACGGGAGGCAGCAGUGAGGAAUAUUGGUCAAUGGACGAGAGUCUGAACCAGCCAAGUAGCGUGAAGGAUGACUGCCCUAUGGGUUGUAAACUUCUUUUAUACGGGAAUAAAGUGAGCCACGUGUGGCUUUUUGUAUGUACCGUAUGAAUAAGGAUCGGCUAACUCCGUGCCAGUAGCCGCGGUAAUACGGAGGAUCCGAGCGUUAUCCGGAUUUAUUGGGUUUAAAGGGAGCGUAGGCGGGUUGUUAAGUCAGUUGUGAAAGUUUGCGGCUCAACCGUAAAAUUGCAGUUGAUACUGGCGACCUUGAGUGCAACAGAGGUAGGCGGAAUUCGUGGUGUAGCGGUGAAAUGCUUAGAUAUCACGAAGAACUCCGAUUGCGAAGGCAGCUUACUGGAUUGUAACUGACGCUGAUGCUCGAAAGUGUGGGUAUCAAACAGGAUUAGAUACCCUGGUAGUCCACACAGUAAACGAUGAAUACUCGCUGUUGGCGAUAUACUGUCAGCGGCCAAGCGAAAGCAUUAAGUAUUCCACCUGGGGAGUACGCCGGCA